Cimex lectularius (bed bug) is the source of this 650-nucleotide long non-coding RNA. RefSeq lists it as uncharacterized. NCBI's taxonomy places the organism in Eukaryota, Metazoa, Arthropoda, Insecta, Hemiptera, Cimicidae. The transcript is spliced from 3 exons. The record is from RefSeq and is a predicted model, not a curated record.
AAAACAUUGAAUACUCAAAAUAAUUGUUAUGUCUUCUUUCUCGAAAAUAAAGUCAUUGGUUUUUUUGUUCUAAAAAAGUUUCAUUGAUCUCUUGGUAGUUCUACCUUGAAGUCCCAUUAUGGCCUUUAUACUUACACUUGUACUUACAAAUACUGACUUGAGAUCUCUCAAGGGAAACAACGGGAAUCAUAACGCUUAAGGUCUGAACUUUCGUGACUGUUAGCAGUAUGGGACAAAUAAAAACAAGACUGUUAGAAGACGAUGUUCUGCGACAAAUGCGACAAGCCGUAUACGUCUCGCGGUGGUCUUUACAACCACAAGAAGUUCGAGUGCGGGAAGGAGCCUUCCUUCAGCUGUCCGAUCUGCCCUUACAAGAGCAGCAGGAAGGCCACACUAAACAUUCACGUGUUCAGAAGACACAGCCAAGUCCAACUUUAAGAGAAAUUUGUAAAAAUGGAUUUUUUUGGCAAUAAAGUUAUUUUAUUUAAAUAUAAACAAUUUUUCCCUUGGUUGUUACCAACUCCGCUGGAACACCCGGUAACUUCUUCAAGUGCCCCGGCUGCUUCAACAGGUACAAAUCCAAGUCGGGACUGUACAACCACCUCAAAUACGACUGCGGUAAGGAGCCGCAGUUCAGCUGUCCGAUCUGC